Molecule: non-coding RNA, 101 nt
Filed under: Bigelowiella natans
Lineage: Eukaryota; Cercozoa; Chlorarachniophyceae
Source: RNAcentral
AACGAAUAAAGCUUGAUGCUGUGAUGAUAAGUUCCCUUUCUGUUCUUUUUUCGAUUCUCCAUAUCUUUUUCUUCUUUUUCUUCUUCUUCUUCUUCUUCCUC